Molecule: long non-coding RNA, 375 nt
Organism: Mastomys coucha (southern multimammate mouse)
Lineage: Eukaryota; Metazoa; Chordata; Mammalia; Rodentia; Muridae
Exons: 3
Source: RefSeq, a predicted model, not a curated record
CCAUCACAUCUGAAGGCCCUGAAAACUGACUAAUUACUAUGAUGUACGACUGGAUUACUAAGUUAACAAGACUGCUGCUGAAUUCUCUAACAGAGCUGUUUCUCUGAAGCUGCCUCUGCAUCCCAGCUGACCCAGCGAACUCUGCCUUUCCGGAUCCGUCGGUUAUGUCUGGCCAAUCGCAUUGUUAAGGGCAGGAAGCCAAGGCUGAACAUCAUUAAGUCCCAGUCCCUGAGAGAGUAACAUCUGAUUUCUAGACUGUGGUCCUCUAAGCAUCCAUCCACCCCUGUCUGCUUUAAUUUCCACAUCCACUACACCUUGGCAAGGAAGCCUCUUCAGGACUUCCACCAAUACAUAAAACUAACUGCUGAAGAGCAC